UUUACUUUGCAGCCAAAGAAUUCUAACAUGCAUUUUGCUAACUGGAACUGGAGCAGCAAAACAAAGAAAACAAAUGCCUCAUUUUCCAGCUUUGUGGGUGAGAGAACUAUAA
Molecule: non-coding RNA, 112 nt
Organism: Chelonoidis abingdonii (Abingdon island giant tortoise)
Lineage: Eukaryota; Metazoa; Chordata; Testudines; Testudinidae
Source: RefSeq, a predicted model, not a curated record